GUAAAAUGGGCUCGAUAUUCCAGUAUUUAGUAGCUUCCGUCAAUUCAGACUCUACAUCUUGUCCCUUUAGAAAGAGUGCCUUCGCGCCUCGUUGCACCAAGGGUUCUGCAUAGCCCAGCAACAUAUGUAGUGGAGCCACCGCGCGCGCUGUGACGCAAUCUAUCGGCGCCUUUGAGCUAUCCACAUAAUCCCCGAUGUCGGCGAGGAUAACCGAGCCGGCCGCACCGGUGACCCGCAGCGCUUCGCGCAGGAACGCCGCCUUCUUGGCGAUUCGUUCGACAAGCUGGACGGACGCG
Molecule: unclassified non-coding RNA, 296 nt
Filed under: Hevea brasiliensis (rubber tree)
Lineage: Eukaryota; Viridiplantae; Streptophyta; Magnoliopsida; Malpighiales; Euphorbiaceae
Source: RNAcentral